Equus caballus (horse) is the source of this 2225-nucleotide long non-coding RNA. Lineage: Eukaryota; Metazoa; Chordata; Mammalia; Perissodactyla; Equidae. The record is from Ensembl.
CGGCCUUCCUCAGAAGCCUUCGGGAAACAUCAUGCAGUGUUCUCCUUUAAACUGAGUGUUUAUCUUCGUUCUUUAUGUUACUGAUAUUCAACUGUCCUAUGGCCAUUCUUAGCAAUAUAGAUGUUCCUGUAGGUCAAAGAAUGGAAAGCAACUUCAGAGAAAGGCAAAAAUGGAAGGAGAAUGCAGGCCAGAAGUUAGCCUAUUUAUACGUGAAAACAACAGCUAAUCCCCUGGGCAUGGAGUGGGGAGCUUAAAUCAUACCACUUUAGCAAGACCCCCCAUGCUUCCCUGCCUUGGUGACUGAUGUCUUUCCUAGGAUGCUUUUGAAUCAGAUUUGAGCCAAUAUCUACAAAGCUCCUGAUGCUACAUACGUUGAAGGCAGAAGAGUGGUUUGAUAACGGACUGUCCAAUAGUCACCACCAGAUGAUUCCUACGAUCUCCUGUGACCUUCAAAGUGGGCCCAUAUACCCUGCGGGAAGUAUAAGGAACUCCACUGGGAUGCUGGAAGGAAAUAAUAGAACUUCUGUUUAUACUUUAUUUUUCAUCUCAUCCUUUUGUAAUUUCUAUUUUUGUGUAUGCUUUACGAUAUAAAUACCAUAUAGGAGCUUAUGUCUAUAAUUUAUAAGUGAAUAAAUGCACAUUGGGGUGCAUGCUCAAAUGUUUGAUUGAUGGAGCAUACAAUCAAGCUUGGUGACACCAUUCUGAUCAGCAAGGGUAGAAAUACUUCAAUAGAGCAAGCUAGAUGAAACCCUGGGGAGGCCAGAACAAGAGCAGCAGACCACUUUGCCUUCCCUGCCUUGGUGUAGAAUGGUGUAGUGGGAAAAUGUUGCCGACCCUUUCUUAGGGUCUGGUGUUCUCUUCAGUGUGGAGUUACAGGAAGUCCCUCUUUUGGGGCUCUGCCAUCAAGUCUCAUGACAUGUCAAAUUAAAGGACUUCCUGGUGCUUCACUCAAAUGUCUACCUGGAGUCAUUGCCCUCAACUCUAACUUGUGGAGAUGUAUCUGCCCUGCUGUUUCUGCUGCUUGGAAACUGCUAGAACAUGCUGCCUGGCCACCUUCGAACUCCAUCCCCACUGCUGGGCACUGAUGCAGAGGCAUCCUUCCCCAGGCCUUGUUGACGUCUUGUUUCAAAGAGGCACAGAACAAUGUCUCCUCAAAGCCAACGGGCUCUGGUGUCCUCCUGUCCCAUGGGGCCUGAACCCCUGCAAGUGCCCCUGCAGCUUGGUGGGAGUGAGACAGCAGAGUGCCCCAGGCUGGGCUGGCCACACAGCUGAGGCCCACAAGCCUACCAGCUGCCGCAUGGCAGAGCCCUGAGCUAACAUCUGCCACCAAUCCUCUUCUUUUUUGCUGAGGAAGGCCAGCCCUGAGCUAACAUGCACGCCCAUCUUCCUCUACUUUAUAUGUGGGACUUGCCAAGCGGUGCCAUGUCCGCACCCAGGAUCCAAACCGGCGAACCCCGGGCCACCGAAGCAGAACUUGUGAACUUAACCGCUGUGCCACGGGGCUGGGCCCUCUGAUGCUAACUUUUAAACAUUAGUUAAGCUUUUGGCUCUUUUCCAGAGACUUCUCACCAGACUGCCUGAAACACCCAGUCAGUGCAAAGAAUCCUUCUCCAGCCAGAGCCCCUCAGGUACCACAGAGCAACUGGACCUCUACAUUCUACCCCGAGGGUGGAUCAUGUUAGUUCAGCCAAGCCUUAAAUGCUUUCCAGAAAAUUCUUUCUAGUAUUUCUUUCAUUCUGUGUCUCUCACAAUAAGUUAAUAAGUUGUUAACCACUCCUCUUAAGCAAGAACAUGAUUACCUUUUCAAGAUGAAAAGAGAUUUUAUGGUCUCUGAUCUUUCUCAGGUAUUAUACUUCCCUAUUUUCUUGCCACGCUCCAUCCCUCAGGCCCUAGACAACCACUUUUAAAUACUUCUUCAGUUUUAGUUCUAACACACUUGUUUUAGCCUUCCCGAGGGCUUAGGGCCCUGAUAGGAAGGAGCAGUAUAUUAAGUAGAUCUCACUUAUUUUCACUUUUAGCUCUUAAAAAUGCCUCACCUUGAUAGCGAUGCAGAUGUUGAAAUAUAUCGGAGUGUGUUCUGUGGUUCUCUGGAAAGACACGUGAAUAAAACCUCUCUAGCAUUCCGAGCUUUCCCUCUCUCUCUUCUCUUUGUGGUCAGAAAGGAGAUUCCCCUCUCCUCACGCAUUCUGACUCAUUGAGGCAUAUUUACCACGAGGGUGUGUGAC